RNAcentral lists this ribosomal RNA (679 nucleotides) under Aphanomyces laevis. RNAcentral's name for it is "LSU rRNA". It matches the Rfam family "Eukaryotic large subunit ribosomal RNA", at positions 27 to 613 of the family's 3401-position model. Lineage: Eukaryota; Oomycota; Saprolegniomycetes; Saprolegniales; Verrucalvaceae. The record is from RNAcentral.
GCUGAAUUUAAGCAUAUCAUUAAGCGGAGGAAAAGAAACUAACAAGGAUUCCCUCAGUAACGGCGAGUGAAGCGGAAGAGCUCAAGCUUAAAAUCUCCACGCAAGGCGAAUUGUAGUCUAUUGAAGCUGUUGUCAGCAUAGCGACUUGGGAAAAGUCCCUUGGAAGAGGGCAGCAUAGAGGGUGAUACUCCCGUCUUUGCCCAAGUUGUCUGUGUGUACGACACGCUUUCUUUGAGUCGAGUUGUUUGGGAAUACAGCUCAAAGUAGGUGGUAAAUUCCAUCUAAAGCUAAAUAUUGGUGCGAGACCGAUAGCGAACAAGUACCGUGAGGGAAAGAUGAAAAGAACUUUGAAAAGAGAGUUAAAGAGUACCUGAAACUGUUGAAAGGGAACCGUAUCGUGUCUAGUGUUUAUCCUGUGCAUAUUUCACUGGCGGUCGCAAGAUUGCUGGUGCCCUGUGCAUGGGUGUGACGUCAGAGUCAGUUUGUGCUGCGGGAGAUGGCUAGUGAGGAGGUGCGUCCCUUUUGGGAAAGUUACAGCUCGCUAGCUAGUAGCCGUGGUUGAGACUGAGGUGCCUACAACAUGCUCUGGGGUCUUUUGUUGUCUCGUGUGGGUUGUUGCCUGGAUAGCUUGCUAUGCUGGUGAUAAUGUAUGCGAUCGAUGGCAAUCGUAACCUCUGCU